This 458-nucleotide ribosomal RNA is filed under the name uncultured bacterium. Its description in RNAcentral is "SSU rRNA". It matches the Rfam family "Bacterial small subunit ribosomal RNA", at positions 26 to 518 of the family's 1533-position model. The record is from RNAcentral.
AGAAUCAACGCUGGCGGCGUGCCUAACACAUGCAAGUCGCACGAGAAAGGGUAGCAAUACCUGAGUACAGUGGCGCACGGGUGAGUAACACGUGAAUAAUCUACCUCCGAGUGGGGAAUAACUGAGAGAAAUCUUAGCUAAUACCGCGUAACACUUACGAGUCAAAGCAGCAAUGCGCUUGGAGAGGAGUUCGCGGCAGAUUAGUUAGUUGGCGGGGUAAUGGCCCACAAGACGAUGAUCUGUAUCCGGCCUGAGAGGGCGCACGGACACACUGGAACUGAAACACGGUCCAGACUCCUACGGGAGGCAGCAGUGGGGAAUUUUGCGCAAUGGGGAAACCCUGACGCAGCAACGCCGCGUGGAGGAUGAAAUCCCUUGGGAUGUAAACUCCUUUCGAUCGGGAAGAUAAUGACGGUACCGAGAGAAGAACGCCCGGCUAACUUCGUGCCAGCAGCCGC